UCCCAAACUGGGAUUAGAUACCCCACUAUGCCUAGCCCUAAACUCCAAUAACUCUACCAACAAAAUUACUCGCCAGAACACUACAAGCAAUAGCUUGAAACUCAAAGGACCUGGCGGUGCUUUACAUCCGUCUAGAGGAGCCUGUUCUGUAAUCGA
This 156-nucleotide ribosomal RNA is filed under the name Cebus sp. 1 EG-2017. Its description in RNAcentral is "partial 12S ribosomal RNA". The record is from RNAcentral. Lineage: Eukaryota; Metazoa; Chordata; Mammalia; Primates; Cebidae.